GACGAACGCUGGCGGCGUGCCUAACACAUGCAAGUUGAGCGACGAACCAGGGCUUGCCCUGGGGCAAAGCAGCGAACGGGUGAGUAACACGUGGGUAACCUACCCCGAUAACCGGGACAACCCGAGGAAACUCGGGCUAAUACCGGAUGUGCUCACUGGACUUCGGUUCAGUGCGUAAAGGAAGCUUCGGCCUCCGUAUCGGGAGGGGCCCGCGGCCCAUUAGUUUGUUGGUGAGGUAACGGCUCACCAAGACCGCGAUGGGUAGCUGGUCUGAGAGGACGAUCAGCCACACUGGGACUGAGACACGGCCCAGACUCCUACGGGAGGCAGCAGUGGGGAAUCUUGCGCAAUGCGCGAAAGCGUGACGCAGCAGCGCCGCGUGGGGGAAGAAGGCCUUCGGGUUGUAAACCCCUUUCAGGAGGGACGAAGGUUCGGCGGUGAAUAGCCGUCCGGACUGACGGUACCUCCACAAGAAGCCCCGGCUAACUACGU
This 492-nucleotide ribosomal RNA is filed under the name uncultured bacterium. RNAcentral's name for it is "partial 16S ribosomal RNA". It matches the Rfam family "Bacterial small subunit ribosomal RNA", at positions 28 to 506 of the family's 1533-position model. The record is from RNAcentral.